GGCAAGAUGGCCGAGUUGGUCCAUGGCGUUAGGUUCAGGUCAAGUCAAUCACGUGAUCUCCGCAUCCUAAUCUCCGCAAGGGGGCGUGGGUUCGAAUCCCACUCUUGUCA
This is a non-coding RNA of Ascosphaera acerosa, 110 nucleotides long. The record is from the annotation of a GenBank genome assembly. NCBI's taxonomy places the organism in Eukaryota, Fungi, Ascomycota, Eurotiomycetes, Onygenales, Ascosphaeraceae.